UGCCUAAUACAUGCAAGUCGAGCGAGCUUGCCUAGAUGAUUUUAGUGCUUGCACUAAAUGAAACUAGAUACAAGCUAGCGGCGGACGGGUGAGUAACACGUGGGUAACCUGCCCAAGAGACUGGGAUAACACCUGGAAACAGAUGCUAAUACCGGAUAACAACACUAGACGCAUGUCUAGAGUUUAAAAGAUGGUUCUGCUAUCACUCUUGGAUGGACCUGCGGUGCAUUAGCUAGUUGGUAAGGUAACGGCUUACCAAGGCAAUGAUGCAUAGCCGAGUUGAGAGACUGAUCGGCCACAUUGGGACUGAGACACGGCCCAAACUCCUACGGGAGGCAGCAGUAGGGAAUCUUCCACAAUGGACGCAAGUCUGAUGGAGCAACGCCGCGUGAGUGAAGAAGGGUUUCGGCUCGUAAAGCUCUGUUGGUAGUGAAGAAAAAUAGAGGUAGUAACUGUCCUUUAUUUGACGGUAAUUACCUAAAAAAGUCUCGGCUAAACUACGUGCCUGCAGCCGCGGUAAUACGUAGGCGGCAAGCGAUAUCCCGAUUUACUGCGUGUAAAAUGCGUGUAGGCGAGAGUGCAAGUCAGAUGUGAAAACCACGGGCUCAUCCUCAGGCUUGCAUUCGUAAGUGUAGGUCUUGAGUACUGGAGAGGCAGACGGAAUUCCUAGUGUUGCGGUGAAAUGCGUAGAUAUUAGGAGGACUACCAGUGGCGAAGGCGGUUUGCUGGACAGCAAAUGACGCUGUGGCGCGCAAGCGUGGGGAGCAAACAGGAUUAGAUACAUUGGUAGUGCACUCCGUCAAAGACGGCUAUUACGUGCGGGGGGUCUGACCCCCUCCGUGCCGCAGUUAACACAAUAAGUAUCCCACCUGGGGAGUACGAUCGCAAGGUUGAAACUCAAAGGAAUUGACGGGGGCCCGCACAAGCGGUGGAGUAUGUGGUUUAAUUUUAAGCAACGAGAAGAACCUUAUCAGGGCUGGACAUCCCGAGGACCGGACUAGAGAUAGUGUUUUCUCUUCUGAGACUUCGGAGACAGGUGGUGCAUCGUUGUGGUCAGCUAGCGUCGCGAGAUGGUGGGUUAUGUUCCCCAACGAGCGCAACCACUCUUCUUAGUUGCUACUCAAGAGCACUUCAGUGUGAGAGCCGUAGACAAAACGGAGGAAGGGGGGGGCGACGCCAAAUCAUCAUGCCCCUUAUGUCGUGGGCCCCACACGUAAUACAACGGUGGUCAACAGAGGGAAGCAAUACCGCGCGGCGGUGCAAAUCCAUAAAAUCCAUCCCAGUUUGGAUAGCAGGCUGCAACCCGCCUGCGUGAAGUUGGAAUCGGUAGUAAUCGCGGAUCAGCAUGCCGCGGUGAAUAGGAUCCCAGGGCCUUGCACACACCGCCCGUCA
Molecule: ribosomal RNA, 1392 nt
Filed under: uncultured bacterium
Lineage: Bacteria
Description: partial 16S ribosomal RNA
Rfam family: Bacterial small subunit ribosomal RNA
Source: RNAcentral